AUUGAACGCUGGCGGCAGGCUUAACACAUGCAAGUCGAACGAGUGGCGGACGGGUGAGUAAUGUAUGGGGAUCUGCCUGAUGGAGGGGGAUAACUACUGGAAACGGUGGCUAAUACCGCAUACCAUAGGAUGAACCCAAAUGGGAUUAGCUAGUUGGUGAGGUAAAGGCUCACCUAGCGACGAUCUCUAGCUGGUCUGAGAGGAUGACCAGCCACACUGGGACUGAGACACGGCCCAGACUCCUACGGGAGGCAGCAGUGGGGAAUAUUGCGCAAUGGGGGCAACCCUGACGCAGCCAUGCCGCGUGUAUGAAGAAGGCCUUCGGGUUGUAAAGUUCUUUCGGUAGCGAGGCGUUAACUACAGAAGAAGCACCGGCUAACUCCGUGCCAGCAGCCGCGGUAAUAC
RNAcentral lists this ribosomal RNA (405 nucleotides) under uncultured bacterium. RNAcentral describes it as "partial 16S ribosomal RNA". It matches the Rfam family "Bacterial small subunit ribosomal RNA", at positions 30 to 526 of the family's 1533-position model. The record is from RNAcentral.